GAUGAAGAACGCAGCGAAAUGCGAUAAGUAAUGUGAAUUGCAGAAUUCAGUGAAUCAUCGAAUCUUUGAACGCACAUUGCGCCCGUCAGUAUUCUGGCGGGCAUGCCUGUUCGAGCGUCAUUACGCCCCUCAAGUCCCCUGUGGACUUGGUGUUGGGGAUCGGCGAGGCUGGUUUUCCAGCACAGCCGUCCCUUAAAUUAAUUGGCGGUCUCGCCGUGGCCCUCCUCUGCGCAGUAGUAAAACACUCGCAACAGGAGCCCGGCGCGGUCCACUGCCGUAAAACCCCCCAACUUUUUAUAGUUGACCUCGAAUCAGGUAGGACUACCCGCUGAACUUAACCAUAUCAAUAAGCGGAGGA
This 358-nucleotide unclassified non-coding RNA is filed under the name soil metagenome. RNAcentral describes it as "partial contains 5.8S ribosomal RNA, internal transcribed spacer 2, and large subunit ribosomal RNA". The stretch from base 1 to 120 matches the Rfam family "5.8S ribosomal RNA", at positions 35 to 154 of the family's 154-position model. The record is from RNAcentral.